GUGACCUCCGCACGAGGAAGGCCGGGCAGGCAGCUGCCUCCCGGGAGCGCCCGGCCUCCGGCGCUCGCCGGGGGAGGGAGGAAGGAAGCGUUUUCGUAGUGUUUGCGCAGAGAACCCUCUCACCACUGCUGCUGCUGCUGCUAAGUCACUUCAGUCGUGUCCGACUCUGUGCGACCCCAUAGAUGGUAGCCCACCAGGCUCCCCCGUCCCUGGGAUUCUCCAGGCAAGAACACUGGAGUGGGUUGCCAUUUCCUUCUCCAGUGCAUGAAAGUGAGAAGUGAAAGUGAAGUCGCUCAGUCGUGUCCGACUCUUAGCGACCCCAUGGACUGCAGCCCACCAAGCUCCUCCAUCCACGGGAUUUUCCAGGCAAGAGUACUGGAGUAGGGUGCCAUUGCCUUCUCCGCUCACCACUGACUAUGGAAAUGAUAUUAGACAAAAAGGAAAUUGGAACGGUUUUCUUGAGUUCAAAAUGGAUCACAAAGCAGCAGAGACAACUUGCAGCAUCAACAACACAUUUGCCCCAGGAACUGCUAGUGAAUGUACAGUGCAGCAUGACUCAAGAAGUUUUGCAAAGGAGAUGAGAGUCUGGAAGGUGAGGAGCAUAGUGGCUGGUCACUGGAAGUUGAUAACAACCAAUUGAGAGCCAUUAUCAAAGCUGAUCCUCUUACAACUACAUGAGAAGUUGCCCAAGAACUCAAUGUCGACCAUUCUAUGGUUGUUUGGGAUUUGAAGCUAAUUGGAAAGGUGAAAAAGCUCAAUAAGUGGGAGCCUCAUGAGCCGACCACAAAGGAAAAAAAGGUCCUUUUCCAGAGUCAUCUUCUCAUAUUCUAUGCAACAACAAUAAACGAUUCCAUGCGACGAAACGUAGAUUUUAUAUGACAACUGUUGAUGACCAGCUCAGUGGUUGGACCAAAAGAAGCUCCAAACCACAUCUCAAAGUCAAACUUGUACCAAAAAAAAGGUCAUGGUUUGGUGGUCUGCUACCUGUCUGAUCCUCUACAGCUUCCUGAAUCCCAGGGAAACCAUUACAUCUGAGAAGUAUGCUCAGCAAAUCGAUGCACUGAUAAAUGUAAUAACAGCAACUGGUAUUGGACAACAGAAAGUGCCCAGUUCUUCUCCAAAACCACAACCGACCACACGGUGCACAACCAACGCUUUGAAAGUUGAAUGAACUGGGCUAUGAAGUUUUGCCUCAUUUGCCAUAGUCACCUGACCUCUCACCAACUGACUCACUUCUUCAAGCUUCUCGACAAGUUUUUUCACGGAAAAUGCUUCCACAACCAGCAGGAGGCAGAAAAUGCUUUCUAAGAGUUCAUCGAAUCCCGAAACACAGAUUUUUAUGCUACAGAAAUAAACUUAUUUCUCCUUGGCAAAAAUGUGAUGGUUGUAUUUUGAUUAAUUAAGAUGUGUUGAGCCUAGUUAUAAU
Budorcas taxicolor (takin) is the source of this 1426-nucleotide long non-coding RNA. RefSeq lists it as uncharacterized. The transcript is spliced from 3 exons. Lineage: Eukaryota; Metazoa; Chordata; Mammalia; Artiodactyla; Bovidae. The record is from RefSeq and is a predicted model, not a curated record.